ACGCUCGACACCUACGGGAGGCGGCAGUGGGGAAUAUUGCACAAUGGGGGAAACCCUGAUGCAGCGACGCCGCGUGAAGGAAGAAGUAUCUCGGUAUGUAAACUUCUAUCAGCAGGGAAGAAAGUGACGGUACCUGACUAAGAAGCCCCGGCUAACUACGUGGCAGCAGCCGCGGUAAUCUGAGCGGGCUGGCAAGGC
Molecule: ribosomal RNA, 198 nt
Filed under: uncultured bacterium
Lineage: Bacteria
Description: partial 16S ribosomal RNA
Rfam family: Bacterial small subunit ribosomal RNA
Source: RNAcentral